Molecule: long non-coding RNA, 1375 nt
Organism: Daktulosphaira vitifoliae (grape phylloxera)
Lineage: Eukaryota; Metazoa; Arthropoda; Insecta; Hemiptera; Phylloxeridae
Exons: 3
Source: RefSeq, a predicted model, not a curated record
UACACCUACAGGUUGCCCAUUAGUCAACAGUUUGGUGCCAGCCGUCGUCUUCUGUUAUGCUUACCAUUUUGCUCGUAAAAUUAUAUUGAAGUGCAACAAAACUUUAUUUUGUCAUUUUCUCGUACAAGAUAUUAUACAUUUUUAGUACAUGUUACAUUUUGAUUAUAAAUAAAUGUUUGCAGCAAUUUGUUAAGCCUUAGCGGUGCGACGCGAGAGCAAGAAAUUCCCAUUUAUCAUUAAUUUGGGUAAUAUAUUUAAUGAAUAAUUUUUUUGAAAAAGAUCACUCAUGCAGUAAAUUAAACACGUUGUUUAUUUGUCUAGGUGACCGAAGUUAAAAAUCGCACCCAUGUCUACUAGACUACAAAACAACGGGGAUGGAUGAGGCGCUGAUCGGACACUACUGUAGCAAAGAGCAGCUAGUUGUAUUUAAUGGCCUGAUGGAGAGAUUAAUGGGAUUAAUGUUUCUCUGACAAUACCUACUAUAAAACUCCUGCAAGGUUGCCAGACAUAAAUGCACGCGGAUACGUUUUAAACCGGAUUCUAUGUCAUCUUGUUCUGGACAGUUAUGGCUGCUGCCGCCACCACAAAUAUCGCUCUCCUUGGACCAGAAUACGAAUAACUAGUACGCAUGAUAAAAACUUCACCUCCAGACAGUAACACUGGUGACAAUGGACAUAUUCGAAAUUAUACCCCAUCAUUUGCACGUGCAUAAUUUUAUUUGUAUUGUAAAAUUUUGCUUAUUUAUAAAUUACAAUUAAAAAAUUGUCCGUAGUCAAAUUUAGCAACGUGUUUGUAUUAUAUUCAGUUUAUUCUUUUUAAAGUAUCAGAAUAUAUUCUAUAAAAAUGGUGAUUUGAACGCCCACAUAAAUUUUUUAUUCAACAUGUUAUAUUAAUCAUGCAAAAUGAUUAAUCCACCUGCUGGGUAAAAAAAAUUGUGUUUUUCAUAAAUAUUCUUUAUUUAAUUAUUUUUUUACUGUAAUUAUAUUCUUCAUAAUUAUUCAAACUAUUCAGAAAUGUUUUAUUUAUUCAUUCAAAUUGUACUAAAUAAAAUUAAGUUAAUAAAUUAUAUUAUUUUAGUUCAAUGUAUACAGAGUGAUUGUUUGUUUAAUUAUGACUCACGCAAUGUCUUUAAAAGAAUACAGCAUAUAUAUUAUUCUCGAAAGUCAAUAAUAUCCUACAUUCCACGAUGUUCGAAAAAACUUGGUCUACCCCCUAUUUUCCAAAUAGCAAAGAAAAAUGUCUAGAAUAUUCCUAGAACAUUUAUUUAUUAUAUUAAAACAUUUCUCAGAUAUAAUCAGAAUAUUUUGAAAUAUCCUCACAAUAUACAUUAGCAGCGAAUAUUCCUGUCUCACAAUACACUUAAAGUAUAUUUCUA